Molecule: long non-coding RNA, 2614 nt
Filed under: Mus musculus (house mouse)
Lineage: Eukaryota; Metazoa; Chordata; Mammalia; Rodentia; Muridae
Description: long non-coding RNA chr3:41773180-41775794
Source: RNAcentral
UAUCAUCAUAUCACAUGCUAGACUCUACUUUUAAAAAUCAGUAUAAUUGAAGUAAAAUCAUAUAAAUAAAAUGUACCCAUUUUAAUGUACAAUUUGAUUACUAUAAAAUGUUUGUGUUUUUUGAAGGCAAUAUUUUUUAAUUUUUAAUUUUAUUUAUUUAUUUAUUUUUUGUUUUUCGAGACAGGGUUUCUCUGUGUAGCCCUGGCUGUCCUGGAACUCACUCUGUAGAUCAGGCUGGCCUCGAACUCAGAAAUCCACCUGUCUUUGCCUCCCAAGUGCUGGGAUUAAAGGCAUGUGCCACUACUGCCAACCUCAAUGGCAAUAUUCUUACCCCUUGACAAUGAGCAGUGCUGAUUCAUUAUUUAUUUUUCCUUAUUGUUUGUCAUUUCAUUUUAAUCAAAUGUUAUUUGGUUAAAACUAUACACUCUUUUCCAUCUUAUUUUUGGAUCUGGAAGCCACCACUGGUAUGAUGCAUUUGUCAUUUCCCAUUAUGAUUUGUUCCUCUUUGUUUUUCAGUAGUAAUCAGUUGUCUAGUCAUGGACUGACAUGGACUGAUUGGUUUACCAAUUGAUGAACAUGGGUUGCUUCUAGUUUAUGGUUGUUUUGCAUGAAGUUACCAAUCAUAUUGCUAUGGUCUUUUUUGGAACAUUAUUUUCUCUUUGGUGAGUCUAAGCUUGAAUUCAGAGUUAAUUUCUUCUCUUCAUAUUUAGCAUCCUUCCGUUUUCUUACCACUCAAUCAAUGACUAUUUCCUACCAAAAUUUUUGCACAAGAAUGGGGCAUGGGCCACUUCAAUACAUAAUCCUGUAAUUUUUUAAACCUCUGUUGUUGGCUUUUGUUCAUAAAACUCUCCAUAGAAUCUUUCAAGCUGAUCAUUUACAUGCUUCUGAGCUCUUAACACAAACACACACACACACACACACACACACACACACACACACACACACACGGGUGGGGGGGAGGAAUUGUGAUUGGAUUUAGUGAACUUGGAAUCUUUUCCUGUUUUUCCCACAAUACAGAAGUCAAAACAUUCAAAACUACACACAUAGUCUUGCUAUGCUAUGAUUAGUAAAAAUGGAAAAUACAUUUUUUAUUUAUUAUUCUACCUCUUACAAAGUAGAAAAAUAUAAAGUCCCAGUAAAGCACUUGGCUCCACCAUGACAGAGUGAAAGAAUGAAAGAAAUUCCCUUAGAAUAUGAUUUCAUCUCGCUCAACACAUGAUGCUCGGCUGGCAGAAAAGAAAACUCCAAAAGUUUAGUAAUUUUUUUUAUGCUUGUCUUGCUCUGUUUUGUAAUUUUGAGCUUUACAUUGUCAAUCAUCUUUCAAUUAAAUAACCUUCCAGAAGACAGGGAUUAUGCCUGAAUUACCUUUCCCAUAAAGUAUCACAUGAAUGUUGUGCAACCAGGUGUUGCAAAUAAUUUUGAAUAAAUAUAAGUAAUUUAAUUAAUAUAUUUCAACAUUUUAAAUGUAUAUGUAGUUUAAAUACUAAAGACCUGAAAUUUGUUGUACUGAAAAUAUUUUUAAACUUAAGACAAAUAAGUAUUAUUAAUUAAGUAGAUAAGUAUUUUCUCUCUACUAACAAUGCUUUUAUUAUUUUUAGAGCAUAAAGAGUCUUAAAAGAAUAAGAAUUGUUUAUAUUCACUAUAAAUUACCUUCAGAGUUAGGCUUUGAGAUAUUGGCCUUACUAUGUUGUUCUGACUAUAUACUUACUAAGUAUGUCUUUUAUGUUAUUAUUAAAUGAAUGCAUCCAAGGACAGUAAAUAUAAUUAAUCAUAAACUUUGAGUAAAUAAUGAAACUUAGUGCCAUUAUCUACAUACGGUAUAUAAAACCAAAGAUCUUUAAACAUGACAGUAAUCUUGAACCUCAUUCCUAUUAGAAUGUACUGCAUAGGCCCUGGAGGCUAUGUGUUUGCAAAAAGGUAUCUGAUUAACUUUUUGAUUUUUUUCAAUUCAGCGGGGAAGCAGUUACUUAUCAAGAAUGAUUAUAAUUCUGUUUUUAUGAAGAUUCUGCUGGUGUUUUUAUUUUUAGCCCAUAUUUAUAAUAAAAUUGGUGCAAUAAAUGUUUUAUUAGACAGAGAAAUUGAAUACUUCUAAUUGUAGGAGUUUUAUAUAAAUAUUGGUUUAUUAAAGAGUAUUUUUAAAUGGUUGCUAAAUUGGGAUAAUGUUUCCAGGAGUACCCGAGGAAACAUCUAAAAAUAAUUUCACUUCAGAAAGCAGAAAAGCAUAACAAGAAGGUGGCAGAUGGCUCUUAAGCAUUGACUGCUAGAGUCUCAGAGGAUAAACCUGGGUAGUUGGAGAGCUGUUAUGUUAUAAGGUUUGUCUUAUUCUGUUAUCCUCUCUUCUUCCUUCCUUUCCCUUGCUCUUCUUCCUUUAGAGACUUUUACCAAAGAGUACAAGUUGUUGUUAGGCUGUGGUGGUGAUAGGGUGGACUUCUGCAUACCUCAGCCUCUGGAGUGCUUGAGUUGUUUUAGAUUGUCUAGUUGCAUGUCUUUCUUUUCUUUUUUUCCCCAACAUAAUAUUUUUUAUUGAAUAUUUCAAAAUUUUACAUAAUGCACGCUGAUCACACUCACUUCCCAGUCCUUCCAGUUCUGUCCCCCAACCCUGUGGCCCCACCCC